AGUCGAGGGGUAGAAGUCUUCGGACUUUGAGACCGGCGCACCGGUGCGUAACGCGUAUGCAAUCUACCUUUUACAGAGGGAUAGCCCAGAGAAAUUUGGAUUAAUACCUCAUAGUAUUAUGAAAUGGCAUCAUUUUAUAAUUAAAGUCACAACGGUAAAAGAUGAGCAUGCGUCCCAUUAGCUAGUUGGUAAGGUAACGGCUUACCAAGGCUACGAUGGGUAGGGGUCCUGAGAGGGAGAUCCCCCACACUGGUACUGAGACACGGACCAGACUCCUACGGGAGGCAGCAGUGAGGAAUAUUGGACAAUGGGCGCAAGCCUGAUCCAGCCAUGCCGCGUGCAGGAUGACGGUCCUAUGGAUUGUAAACUGCUUUUAUACGAGAAGAAACACUACUUCGUGAAGUAGCUUGACGGUAUCGUAAGAAUAAGGAUCGGCUAACUCCGUGCCAGCAGCCGCGGUAAUACGGAGGAUCCAAGCGUUAUCCGGAAUCAUUGGGUUUAAAGGGUCCGUAGGCGGUUUAAUAAGUCAGUGGUGAAAGCCCAUCGCUCAACGGUGGAACGGCCAUUGAUACUGUUAAACUUGAAUUAUUAGGAAGUAACUAGAAUAUGUAGUGUAGCGGUGAAAUGCUUAGAGAUUACAUGGAAUACCAAUUGCGAAGGCAGGUUACUACUAAUGGAUUGACGCUGAUGGACGAAAGCGUGGGUAGCGAACAGGAUUAGAUACCCUGGUAGUCCACGCCGUAAACGAUGGAUACUAGCUGUUGGAAGCAAUUUCAGUGGCUAAGCGAAAGUGAUAAGUAUCC
Molecule: ribosomal RNA, 803 nt
Filed under: uncultured Bacteroidota bacterium
Lineage: Bacteria; Pseudomonadati; Bacteroidota
Description: bacterial SSU rRNA
Rfam family: Bacterial small subunit ribosomal RNA
Source: RNAcentral